AAAGAGGAGGUUCUUACCUUCUAUGACCUGAGCUGGUAGACCGGCAGGGAGCAAUGAACCCAAAAGCAGCAGGAGCAAAUUGCAGGGCACCCUGGAGUGACUGGAGAAAAUUGGGAAAGAGGGAGAGGAAGGAAGCCAGAGAACCCACCAUCUUCCAGCUCCUCUUCUUCUACCUCACAGCUAAGUCCAGGACCUCAUGCUCCUCCUAUAUUUUUGUCUGUCCUCAGAUUUCCCAUCAAAUGACAGCAAUACAAUCACCACGACCCGGGAAGCUUCCUCAGCAACUCAUUCUCCCUCUGAGGGCUGCAUUCCCUUUGUGGUUAACAUCCUCUGAUAAAAAGCAAUGAUUCUUUUUAAUGUUCACGGCUGUUUUGGGAAAUUGCGGCAGCUCCUGUCUCAGCGGGGCUGACACAGGAGGAACUUCCCAAAAGGAAUAGCAGUUUCACAAAAGAGCAUUAAAUCAAGUGUUUAAGUUGGGCUGACAUGAGGGAGAGCUUUCCCACAGGAUCAGACUCUUCAUUCUCACUUGCAUUUCUUGGUUUUAAGGAUGCCUUCUGGUUUACUGAACAUUGUCUAAAGUUGUGUAUGUUAAUAGGCAAAUCAUAAAUGAUUUUCUAAAAAUUAAGUAAAGAUUUAUUCUAGCCUAA
Long non-coding RNA from Podarcis raffonei (Aeolian wall lizard), 647 nucleotides. RefSeq lists it as uncharacterized. Lineage: Eukaryota; Metazoa; Chordata; Lepidosauria; Squamata; Lacertidae. The record is from RefSeq and is a predicted model, not a curated record. The transcript has 2 exons.